UUUUUGCCUAGCGACUGACAACAGGCUGGUUGCUUGGCGUGGAAUCCUAAAGUGGCCUGGCUUUGAGACUGGAGUGAGACCCCAGCCCUAGGCUGGGGUUCUUUCCAUUAUAGAGGAGACGGAUUCAGAAGGGCUACAGACCAAGGUUGUUGAAAACCAGACAUAUGAUGAGCGUCUAGAGAUUAACGACUCCGAAGAGGUUGCAAGUAUUUAUACUCCAACCCCAAGACACCAAGGCUCUCACUCUGUUGCCCGGGCUGGAGUGCAGCAGCAUGAACACUGGACACUGCUCACUGCAGCCUCGAACUCCUGGGUUUAAGCAGACCUCCUGCGUCAGCCUCCCGAGUAGCUGGGACCACAGGCGCAUGGCAUCACACCCAGCUAAUUUUUUUUCUUUUUUUUUUUUUGUAGAUGGGAUCUUGCCAUAUUGUCCAGUCUAGGCUCAAACUCCUGGGCUCAAGUGAUCCUCCUGCCUCCCCUUCCCAAAGUGUUGGGAUUAUAGGCAUGAGCCACUGCCCCUGGCCAGAGUUUAUAUUAUUUAUGUAAUGGCAGAUAAUUUGAAUAGUAUAAUGUCUAACCCAAUGCCUUAA
This 590-nucleotide long non-coding RNA is filed under the name Homo sapiens (human). RNAcentral describes it as "non-protein coding lnc-TREH-2:2". The record is from RNAcentral. Lineage: Eukaryota; Metazoa; Chordata; Mammalia; Primates; Hominidae.